GUGCUUGCUUUGGCAGCCCAUACAUUAAAACUGGAACAAGACAAGAAGAUUAGCUUGCCCCCCCCAUGUGAGGAUGACAUGCAAAUUUAUGAAGUGUUUCAUAUAAUA
This is a small nuclear RNA of Zalophus californianus (California sea lion), 108 nucleotides long. Lineage: Eukaryota; Metazoa; Chordata; Mammalia; Carnivora; Otariidae. The record is from Ensembl.